This 433-nucleotide ribosomal RNA is filed under the name uncultured bacterium. RNAcentral's name for it is "bacterial SSU rRNA". It matches the Rfam family "Bacterial small subunit ribosomal RNA", at positions 28 to 507 of the family's 1533-position model. The record is from RNAcentral.
GAUGAACGCUGGCGGCAGGCCUAACACAUGCAAGUCGAACGCCGUAGCAAUACGGAGUGGCAGACGGGUGAGUAACGCGUGGGAACCUUCCCAAUGGUACGGAAUAGCCCAGGGAAACUUGGAGUAAUACCGUAUAAGCCCGAAAGGGGAAAGAUUUAUCGCCAUUGGAUGGGCCCGCGUCGGAUUAGCUAGUUGGUGAGGUAAUGGCUCACCAAGGCGACGAUCCGUAGCUGGUCUGAGAGGACGAUCAGCCACACUGGGACUGAGACACGGCCCAGACUCCUACGGGAGGCAGCAGUGGGGAAUAUUGGACAAUGGGCGCAAGCCUGAUCCAGCCAUGCCGCGUGAGUGAUGAAGGCCUUAGGGUUGUAAAGCUCUUUUGGCGGGGACGAUAAUGACGGUACCCGCAGAAUAAGCCCCGGCUAACUUCGUG